CCUACGGGAGGCAGCAGUGGGGAAUUUUGGACAAUGGGGGCAACCCUGAUCCAGCAAUGCCGCGUGAGUGAAGAAGGCCCUCGGGUUGUAAAGCUCUUUUGUCAGGGAAGAAACGGUGGUUCCUAAUACGAGCUGCUAAUGACGGUACCUGAAGAAUAAGCACCGGCUAACUACGUGCCAGCAGCCGCGGUAAUACGUAGGGUGCAAGCGUUAAUCGGAAUUACUGGGCGUAAAGCGUGCGCAGGCGGUUAUAUAAGACAGAGGUGAAAUCCCCGGGCUCAACCUGGGAACUGCCUUUGUGACUGUAUGGCUAGAGUGUGUCAGAGGGGGGUAGAAUUCCACGUGUAGCAGUGAAAUGCGUAGAUAUGUGGAGGAAUACCGAUGGCGAAGGCAGCCCCCUGGGAUAACACUGACGCUCAUGCACGAAAGCGUGGGGAGCAAACGAGGAUUAGACUACCCUGGUACGUCCACGCCCUAAACGAUGUCUACUAGUUGUCGGUACUUAAUUGUCUUGUACGUCAGCUACGCGUGAGUAGACCGCCGNGGGAGGUACGGUCGGUCGAAGAAGUUAAACGUUAACGUAAAGUUAAGUUAGUAGCGNGNGAGACGCGACGACGACGACGACGGAGGAGGNGG
RNAcentral lists this ribosomal RNA (636 nucleotides) under uncultured bacterium. Its description in RNAcentral is "bacterial SSU rRNA". The stretch from base 1 to 542 matches the Rfam family "Bacterial small subunit ribosomal RNA", at positions 338 to 873 of the family's 1533-position model. The record is from RNAcentral.